CCUACGAGAGGCUGCAGUGAGGAAUAUUGGUCAAUGGGCGGAAGCCUGAACCAGCCAAGUAGCGUGCGGGCUGAAGGCCCUACGGGUCGUAAACCGCUUUUGCACGGGGAUAACACCCUCCACUUGUGGAGGUCUGCAGGUACCGUGCGAAUAAGGGCCGGCUAAUUCCGUGCCAGCAGCCGCGGUAAUACGGAAGGCCCGAGCGUUAUCCGGAUUCAUUGGGCUUAACGGGAGCGUAGGCGGGCGUUCAAGUCAGCUGUAAAAUCGCGCGGCUCAACCGCGCCCAGCAGUUGACACUGGACGCCUGGAGUACACAACAGGCAGGCGGAAUUCGUGGUGUAGCGGUGAAAUGAAUAGAUAUCACGAGGAACCCCGAUUGCGAAGGCAGUCUGCCGGGGUGCGACUGACGCUGAGGCUCGAAGGUGCGGGUAUCAAACAGGAUUAGAUACCCUGGUAGUA
This 459-nucleotide ribosomal RNA is filed under the name uncultured bacterium. RNAcentral's name for it is "partial 16S ribosomal RNA". It matches the Rfam family "Bacterial small subunit ribosomal RNA", at positions 338 to 795 of the family's 1533-position model. The record is from RNAcentral.